Rosa chinensis is the source of this 1079-nucleotide long non-coding RNA. RefSeq lists it as uncharacterized. The record is from RefSeq and is a predicted model, not a curated record. The transcript is spliced from 5 exons. Lineage: Eukaryota; Viridiplantae; Streptophyta; Magnoliopsida; Rosales; Rosaceae.
UCACCAAAAAUUGCAAUGCCAAAACUGCCCAUGUCAGAAACAAAAGUUAAUUAAAUAAAAUUUAUCUAGAAGGGUUAGCAUUGUAAAAUACAAAAAAGAAAACAAAAAAAUAUAAAUAGAAAAAAUAGGAACGUGGGACUCCAAACUAAUACGCCGUAGAAUACAAUUUGGGUAGAAAACGCACGAUCUCUACAGGAACGAAAAACUGCCAUGGCGCACGACCUAAAAAGGAACGAUAUUAUGACGACGUGGGAGAUAUCCGUUAGUACAACAGGGAAGCGCAAGCCAGAGGCAAGAAGAACGAAAUCAAACGACAAAAGAUAAAAAAGAAAAAUAUCGAUUAGAAUCAGUAGUUUGCUGAUUUUCCCUGAUAGGUGAACCUAGCAGGAGUCUAUUGAGAAGUUUAUGAUCGUCGGAUAGUUUUGGUUUCAUAAAUAAGGAACAAGAAGAAGAAUAGAACCACAGAAGCAGUCACAUGUGUUUCAAUCGAUCUCUCUCCCCAUGCAUUCAAAAAUUUCAAAUUUAACCAAAACGAGGCUGUAAUUUCAGGAUGGUUUUUCAUUUCGUAUUGUCCCGCUUGCAUGAGUGGAGUUAAGGAAAUACUGACAACUUGAGAUAGGGACACAAUUCUUUAAACCAAAUAUCUCCUCAUGCAAUUUUGGAGACUGAAUCCUUCAUGAAGUAAGUUUAUUCUCUUUGUUACUCCCAUUAGGUGUGGCAAAGUCAAAGACCUAAUUUCACCUUCAAAUGAAUAUCGGCACCUAGGGGGAUUAUCAUCUAGACCUUAGAUAGGAAAACUAACAUAUGUUACUCGGUUCGUAUCACCUUCAAAUGAAUUUUGUUUUGUAUCUCCUCCAGUUUGAUUCAUUUGCUGUGAUCAAACAACAAUAAUUUUACUUACUUGGAUCACCUGGAAUUUCUGAAUGUGGGAUUUUUGGGUUUAAAUAGUUUGGAGUAUCUCCACUUCUCCUGUAAUUGUUUGUUCUCCAGGUUUAAAUCGCAUCGGUAUCAAAUUUGAAUCUCUUUGAAUCUGUGCUUUUAGUUUUCACUUCACCUAUAAAAUUUCAAAUCUGUUUUGU